AAACAAGCCGAUGAAACCUUAAAAAAUGCGAAAUUUAAGUUGUAGAGCUUUUGCGUUUUCUAUUUUAAGUCUAUUAUUAUUUUUUUUUAACUUUAAUCAUUCGAUUAUUGUAGCCGGUAGCAGCUCUAGAGUCUUUAGCCCCCCGAGCGAAAUUUUUGUUGCGCCGUCUCGAGUCGUCAGUUUCGAUAGUGAGCUCCGCUCGAUAGUAUGUUGCGCCGGCCCUGAGUUAUCUAUUCUAGUUCAUAAAAAAAUUUCCCUUCAAAUAAUCCUCUUUUCGUAUUUGGCGACUCGUAUUUAAAAAGUUUGAAACUUACGUUCAACUGGAU
RNAcentral lists this long non-coding RNA (326 nucleotides) under Androctonus crassicauda. The record is from RNAcentral. Lineage: Eukaryota; Metazoa; Arthropoda; Arachnida; Scorpiones; Buthidae.